Paramacrobiotus metropolitanus is the source of this 366-nucleotide long non-coding RNA. RefSeq lists it as uncharacterized. The transcript has 3 exons. NCBI's taxonomy places the organism in Eukaryota, Metazoa, Tardigrada, Eutardigrada, Parachela, Macrobiotidae. The record is from RefSeq and is a predicted model, not a curated record.
UACAGUAGUAGCAGCAUAAAAUUUAGGUGAAACUGUGCAAUCACAGUACAAAGGCGGCCUCCAAACCCGGGAUAUCGCCAUGAAGGUUGUGGUCUUGUUGACAAUUCUUUUGUGCGUCCUAUGCUACGGAGUCUCGGGAAGAGGAAACAACAGGGCACCAGGAUGUAUAUGCACACAGGUCAGGACCCCAGUGUGCGGCAAAGAUGGGAAAACAUACCCGAACAGUUGUGAGGCCCGUUGCAAAAAUAUACUUGUCGCCAGCCAAGGAGCAUGCGAGGAUAAGCCCAAGUCACAAAACUGAAUGCGUGAUUUCUCAGCCACUUUAGUUGUCGAUGCGGAAUCAGCACUGGGUAUUUUCCCAUAAUA